GGGCCCGCACAAGCAGUGGAUUAUGUGGUUUAAUUCGAAGCAACGCGAAGAACCUUACCAGGUCUUGACAUCCCGCGAGUAGCCUAGAGAUAGGUGAUGCCUUUCGGGGCGCGGAGACAGGUGGUGCAUGGUUGUCGUCAGCUCGUGUCGUGAGAUGUUGGGUUAAGUCCCGCAACGAGCGCAACCCUUAUUGCUAGUUGCUACGCAAGAGCACUCUAGUGAGACUGCCGUUGACAAAACGGAGGAAGGUGGGGAUGACGUCAAAUCAUCAUGCCCUUUAUGACCUGGGCUACACACGUAAUACAAUGGCACUUAACAACGGGAGGCAAUACCGCGAGGUGGAGCAAAUCCCCAAAAAGUGUCUCAGUUCGGAUCGCAGGCUGCAACCCGCCUGCGUGAAGUCGGAAUUGCUAGUAAUCGCGGAUCAGCAUGCCG
RNAcentral lists this ribosomal RNA (435 nucleotides) under uncultured Bacillota bacterium. Its description in RNAcentral is "bacterial SSU rRNA". It matches the Rfam family "Bacterial small subunit ribosomal RNA", at positions 917 to 1359 of the family's 1533-position model. The record is from RNAcentral. Lineage: Bacteria; Bacillati; Bacillota.